GUGCUUACUUCAGCAGCACAUAUACUAUAAUUGGAAUGACACAGAGAACAUUAGCAUGGCCCUUGAGCAAGGAUGACAUGCAAAUUUAUGCAGUGUUCCAUAUAAAA
Molecule: small nuclear RNA, 107 nt
Organism: Cynocephalus volans (Philippine flying lemur)
Lineage: Eukaryota; Metazoa; Chordata; Mammalia; Dermoptera; Cynocephalidae
Source: RefSeq, a predicted model, not a curated record